Molecule: non-coding RNA, 904 nt
Organism: Misgurnus anguillicaudatus (oriental weatherfish)
Lineage: Eukaryota; Metazoa; Chordata; Actinopteri; Cypriniformes; Cobitidae
Source: RefSeq, a predicted model, not a curated record
AUUUGGCAACCCAACACAGAACCCAAAAUGUUUCUUAAAAAUGAUUCUUUAAAAUGAAUUAAAAUUGUUUUGUUGAGUUUGGAUAGUUUCAUGUUUGUGGUAGAAAAAAAAUGACAGCAUUCGAAACAAACCGUGUUUAUUCUUAUUAAAAAGUAAACCUUUAUUAAACAUUGUUUGGUUUGUGCUUUUUCUGUUGUCCUGAACUGUGCAGCCCCCUUUUAUCCCAAUAACAGGCUGGGCACCACAGCAAACCAGGGGCAUAGAGCACAAGAACACGGCCAUUAGAAAAUGUUUACUUUAAAUAAAUGCAAAUUACAAAAGUUUUACUGUUGUACACACAAUUUUGACAACCACAAAGAAAGCAAAAGUCAAAACCAGUCAGGAACAACACAGCUAAAUGGAAAACCAAAAAUCUAAACUAUAUUUUAUAUAAAUCAUUUAUUGUCAUCUAUACUGGUCAACAUAUCAUAAAAUCAACCUAUCCUUGUUGUAAUUUGAAUUAAGAUUGGUACCAUUUGCCUAUGGUAUCACAUGACCGUAUUAAGCAAAUCAGGAAAGUUAUUGAGAUAAAACUUUGAGUGGACUUUCAUUCCACACCUCUCACGAUUUUGUAGUGCCUCUCUCAUUUCAUGUUGAAACUUUCUGAAUCUGCAGGUCAAUAUUUCUAUGAGGAGUUGUGAAGCGUAGGGACAUCUAUAACACAAAAUGACAUUGUGCAAAGGGAUUGUGCUUCUUUUCCUGGGACUGUUUUGUAAGGUUUCUGUGGCAGCAGAAAACUCGACUCAAGUUUACUUUUUUGAGCUUGAAAUAGAGUCAUCAGUAUAUGAUGAAUCGAACCUCACGAAGUUGUCACCUUUAAAUUUUGGAGAUUGGACUGUCUCAGACAUCAUCGUUACAGCAGGUA